Molecule: transfer RNA, 76 nt
Filed under: Halomonas elongata
Lineage: Bacteria; Pseudomonadati; Pseudomonadota; Gammaproteobacteria; Oceanospirillales; Halomonadaceae
Also listed under: 4 other names
Description: tRNA-Thr
Rfam family: tRNA
About the family: Transfer RNA (tRNA) molecules are approximately 80 nucleotides in length. Their secondary structure includes four short double-helical elements and three loops (D, anti-codon, and T loops).
Source: RNAcentral
GCUGGCAUAGCUCAGAUGGUAGAGCAGCUGACUUGUAAUCAGCAGGUCCCGGGUUCGACUCCUGGUGCCAGCACCA